This 320-nucleotide long non-coding RNA is filed under the name Polistes fuscatus (common paper wasp). Its description in RNAcentral is "uncharacterized LOC122523535". Lineage: Eukaryota; Metazoa; Arthropoda; Insecta; Hymenoptera; Vespidae. The record is from RNAcentral.
GUUGAACUUUGUUGGUUCAAACACGCGUGGAUCCAUAAAAUAAGGAUCGUCGAUAAGAACGCAGGAGAGAUCCGAAUGUCCUGGACCAAAAUCGGAGAUAUGAAAAGAGGCGUCAAGAUUUUGCACGAUUUGCACGCUACGAUUAAACGACCAAUGUCGAGAAAUUCAGCGGGAAAUCUUAUCGAAACGAUUAGAAAUAGAAAUUGGCAAAUUCUUGAUCGAGAUAUCGUCGAACGAGACAAAAUUGUAGACACGAUUUUAAAGUAUACGGAGAUCACUAACGAUCACAUGACUCCUGAUUUAAAGCUUUUUCUUUUGAC